This 1763-nucleotide long non-coding RNA is filed under the name Homo sapiens (human). RNAcentral's name for it is "HSALNT0299696". The record is from RNAcentral. Lineage: Eukaryota; Metazoa; Chordata; Mammalia; Primates; Hominidae.
UUUUUCCCAGUGGCCAAUAUUUGAUUCUGUUGUAUCAUGGCUAAAAGGUAGGCAUGGCAACAAAAUAAAGACAGGAAGUCUUUGGAAUAAGUGAUCCCAUCACAAUGAAUCAAUUUGCCAUUGGAACAUAUUUUUACAAAGUCACUCUUUUGAAAAUAUUUAGCUAUGAAUUAAAACAGAGUCUGUAUGGUUAAUAUUUUUCCUGGUCUAAGGUGAACAGCAUUUUAGAGAAUGAACUCAGGACACAACCACAGCACAAGAAAAACGUGAUAAUUAAGUUUACACAUAUGUGUUACUACUGCAACAGAAAACAUGUAAAGAACAUUUGAUUUAUGUAUCAGUCUGCACUGUUUAAUUUUUUGUGUCAUAAAUACUCUUAUUUAAAAAAACAGGACUAGUUAACAGUGUCAAUUACUAGUAAUUCAUGGUAUAAAUAAUUAAACAAGGAAGUGUUCAAAAAAAACAGUGUUUUAAAUAAAGUUUUAUUUUACAUCAUCUUUUUUACUUACACAGAAAUUGUCAAAAAAAAGCAGAGAUUUCCCAUGUAGCCGCAACCUAGUUUCCUCUCUUAUUAACAUCUUCUAUCAGUGUGUCUCACAUGGCUUAUUAAUAUCUUACAUAAUUUGUCACAGUUAAUGAACCAAUACUGAUAGACUAUUAUUAACUGAAGUUCAUAUUUCAUUUGGAUUCCCUUAGUUCUAUCUUACUCUGACCCAGGAUCCCAUCCAGGAUACCGCAUGACAUGUAGACAUCACGUGGGCUCUUCCUGGCUGUGACAGUGUGUCAGGCUUUCCAUCUCAUGAUGACCUUCAUAGCACUGAGGAGGAUUGGUCAGGAAUGUUGUAGAAUGUCCCCCAUUGUCACUUCGUGUUCUCAAGGUGAACUGUCACCUUUGAUGUUCACUUGGAUCAUUUGGCAGAGCUACUGUUUGUCAGAUUUCUCCACUGUGAAGUUAUUUUUCCUCCUUGUCCGUACUGCAUGUGUUCUUUUGGAGCAAGUCACUAUGCAGAGCCUCACUCCGUAAGGAGUUGGCUCCACCUUCUUGACGGCUGAGUGUCUACAUCAAUUAUUUGGAAUUCUUUUGCAAAGGAGAUUUCUAUGCAACUCCAUUUGCUUAUUCACCUAGGUAUACAAAUACAGACACCUAGAUAAUUACUUUAAGGUUUAGUUAUUAUUCAACACUACAGUAUUAUGUUGCACAAUUCAUUCCUGUGUUGGCCAUCAGUAGCUGUUUUUAUUGGCUCUUAUUUUUCUUUGAUAUGUUUUAACUUUUUUAGUACUUACUUUCUGAUACUUCCAGAUUAUCCUGGCUCCUAUAUUUACUGUCCCAGUUCUAGUAUCAGACAUUUCUUCAAAGAGCCUGAUUCCUUUCAGAAUGGUAGGAAAACUUACAUCUGGCUGCUGAAUGAGCACAUUGUAUCUUCUCCCUCAUUGGCAAUGCUAGGAAGUAUAUGUGUGUGUCUAACCUACCUAUACACACCUAAUUAUAAAGUUUUCUAUGUAGAACUGUGUGUGUCUAUAUUAAACUAAACAUAAGUUUACGUUGAUGUCUCCACCUCUGAUCUACUAUCACAUGAAUCAUUCUAGCCUUCUCGCCUUGCUAAUUUGUAACCUCCCACUUCAACAGUAAGAAACCUGGUUCCCACCAUCUGCGACUUAUAUGGCACCGAAAGCGAAGGAAGCUCCUGCUCCUCCUAAAGCCGAAGCCAAAGCGAAGGCUUUAAAGGCCAAGAAGGCAGUGUUGAAAGGUGUCCGCAGCCACA